UACGUAGGGGGCAAGCGUUGUCCGGAAUCAUUGGGCGUAAAGCGCGCGUAGGCGGCCCGGUAAGUCCGUUGUGAAAGUCAAAGGCUCAACCUUUGAAUGCCGAUGGAUACUGCCGGGCUAGAGUCCGGAAGAGGCGAGUGGAAUUCCUGGUGUAGCGGUGGAAUGCGCAGAUAUCAGGAAGAACACCCGUGGCGAAGGCGGCUCUCUGGGACGGUACUGACGCUGAGACGCGAAAGCGUGGGGAGCGAACAGG
This 253-nucleotide ribosomal RNA is filed under the name uncultured bacterium. RNAcentral's name for it is "partial 16S ribosomal RNA". It matches the Rfam family "Bacterial small subunit ribosomal RNA", at positions 524 to 776 of the family's 1533-position model. The record is from RNAcentral.